Molecule: long non-coding RNA, 1410 nt
Filed under: Callithrix jacchus (white-tufted-ear marmoset)
Lineage: Eukaryota; Metazoa; Chordata; Mammalia; Primates; Cebidae
Description: lncRNA (ENSCJAG00000071814.1)
Source: RNAcentral
CCUGUCCUUCUGCUUUGUCUCAGUGUCCCUUGGCAGAUGGCCUGAUGCUUGGGGCUGGCCCAAGGACACCUCAGGAAGGUUUGGGUCCCACUCUACAAUGGUCUGAUUAUACAGAGGGACAUCUAUCUGCCUUCUGGAGAUGGACAGGGGCCUUAAGACUUCGGUUGAGAACAGGAUGCUCUGUCUCUUACUGUCUGGGGCAGGCAGUGCCUCUAAUACUGGGGAUGCUAGAGGUGAUGUUUUUGGUAAACAGGCGGGGGUAGAGUUUGCCGAGUUCCUUUUACUUUUUUUAAUCUUUCCUUAGUGCAUGCCUGUGUCGGGUUAACAGUUCGGUUAAUUGGUGGAUUAAUUUGUAGUAUAUGAUAAUUGGGCUGUUAACUAACAGUAGUUGUUUCGGUCUGAGAUAAGCUUAUGCAAGGAGAAUAAUUUCAUGUUACUUAUAUCAACAUUAUUGCUUCUAUUUGAUAAUAGAUUGGUCCAAUUUGUAUUAGGAGUUCAAUGAGAUUAUUAGGAUUAAGAGUAAAUAAAUAUUGAGCUUGUACGCUUUCUUAAUUGGUGGCUGCUUUUAGGCCAACUAUGAUGGCUAAAUUGUUUACUCUCUAUAAAAGGUUGUUUCCUAGGGUCUUAAGAGCUGUCCCUCUUUAGACUAACAGUUAAAUUUACAGGAGGAUUAUGUGAUUCUGUAGGUAAAUUUAAAGUUGAACUAAGAUUCUGUCUUGGACAACCAGCUAUCACCAGGCUCGGUAGGUUUGUCGCCACUACCCAGAGAUUUUCCCACUAUUUUGCCACAUAGACGGGUGCGCUCUUUUAGCUAUCCUUGGGUAGCUCGCUUGGUUUUGGGGGGCAUUGUUUAAGUUCUCUUUAUAGAGCUAUUUCUGGUUGGUUCAUUAUGCAGAAGGUACAAGGGUUUAUCUUUGCUUUUUUGUGCUUUAUUGGUUUUGUUCUUUCCCUUGCGGUACUGUAUCUAUUGCGCCUAAAAUAUAAUUUCUAUCUCCUAUACUUUUGUAGUAGGUAAAUGAUUUAAUUAAUGAGGCUAAGUAGUAUAUUUUAGUAAUGUUUGGGCUAGAGUUAGCUCAAAACCAUUAUUUGUUGUGAGAUCUUCCGGGUGUAAGCCAGAUGCUUUAAUUUAAGCUACGUUUUGAUUCGUCCAAGCGCACUUUCCAGUACGCUUACCAUGUUACGACUUAUCCCCUCUAGAUCAGUAUGAAGUGGCUUGUUGUCAAUAUACUUUUGUGUGAUGUUUGAGGAGGGUGACGGGCGGUGUGUGCGUGCUUAAUGGCCUUGUUUCAAUCAAGCUCUCUAUUCUUGGUUUACUGCUAAAUCCACCUUAGGCCCUUAAAUUUCAUAAGGGUUAUCGUUUAGUUUUCUGAUGUAGAAAAUGUAGCCCAUUUCUUCCCAUGUCAUUGGCUG